AGAGUUUGAUCCUGGCUCAGGGUGAACGCUAGUAGUAUGCCUAACACAUGCGAGUCGAACGAAGACAAUGUCUUCGUGGCGUACGGGUGAGUAAUACACAGGAAUCUGCCUUUUAGUUCAGCUUAAAAUUUUGAAUAUCUAAAGAAAACUUUUCGCUAAAAGAUGAGCCUGUGAAGGAUUAGGUAGUUGGUGUGGGUAAAAGCCUACCAAGCCUUUGAUCCUUAGCUGUUCUGAGAGGAAGUACAGCCACACUGGGACUGAGACAAGGCCCAGGCUCCAUUUGGAGCCAGCAGUGAGGAAUUUUGGACAAUGAGCGAAAGCUUGAUCCAGCAAUACUACAUGAGUGAUGAAGGCUUUCAAGUUGUAAAGCUCUUUGGUUGAGGAGGAUAAUGACAGUACUCAACAAAAUAGCCCCGGCUAACUUCGUGCCAGUAGCCGCGGUAAGACGAAGGGGGCGAGCGUUAUCCGGAAUGACUGGGCGUAAAGGGUCCGUAGGCAGCAUUUUUUGUUAAUUGUGAAAGAAAAAAGCCCAACUUUUUUUAGCUUUUAAUACGUUAAUGCUUUGAGUUUGAGAGGGGGUAGCAGAAUUUCACAUGGAGGGGUGAUAUCCGUAGAUAUGUGAAGGAAUACCAGAGGCGAAGGCGGCUAUCUGGCUCAAUACUGACGUUGAGGGACGAAAGCAUGGGGAGCAAACAGGAUUAGAUACCCUGGUAGUCC
RNAcentral lists this ribosomal RNA (717 nucleotides) under uncultured bacterium. RNAcentral describes it as "bacterial SSU rRNA". It matches the Rfam family "Bacterial small subunit ribosomal RNA", at positions 8 to 796 of the family's 1533-position model. The record is from RNAcentral.